Molecule: long non-coding RNA, 1607 nt
Organism: Brassica napus (rape)
Lineage: Eukaryota; Viridiplantae; Streptophyta; Magnoliopsida; Brassicales; Brassicaceae
Exons: 2
Source: RefSeq, a predicted model, not a curated record
UUUUGAAUACCUAAUAGAUAUAAAAUUUAAAAUAAUUAACAUAUUUAAGUAUAUAAUUGUGAGUUAGAUAUUUUUGGUAUCCAAUUUUUUUUAGUUUGGAUCAGAUUCUGAUAUGGUUAUCUGGAUAUUAAACUUUUAGAUCCAUCUAACUACUUAAUCAGUUUUAUUUUGUAUUUUAGUAUUACUUUCAAAUCUACUUCGGUUUGGUUCUUCGGAUCAGAUAUUUUGCCCAGAUUUAAUUUCUUUUAAUAAUAUAAAUUAAAAUAAAAUAAAUGUAAAACAAAUAUUCAGGGUUUUUUAACAUACAUAAUUAUUGGACCAUACUUUAAGAAAACCAAUAAAAAUGGUGGGGCGUCGUGUCAAUAUUGUUGGGCAUAUUGCAAAACUGACAUAGUCUAUAAUCAAUAACGUGUAUUUUCUUAUAAAAAAUUAUUGAUGAAUAUAAUAAAAACACGAUACAAUCGAGUGAAAUGUGUUAGAGUUGCGUGAAAUUAAUGUGAUCUCUUCAAUCGGUACCUGAAUUUUGUUUUUCAAAUCGAUUUCAUGAACUUUUUUUCUUUUAAAGCUUUUCUAAUUUCUGAUUUUUUCUAACAGUCUGAUUAUGUUUCUAAUUCUUGGUAUGAUAUGAAAACUCCGUAAAGAAAAACAAUAUUUGGCUAAACUAAAGAUCUGAUUUUGUGUGUGGUGUUUUUUACAUCAAUUUUCUUAGCUCAUAACUAAUCACAAUUAUUUAUUGUCUUCAUGUACAGAAACUUCAACCAUACCUAAGUUCGGCAACAUAAGAAACUUUCAAUUUCUAAAAACAUUCUUGUUCCAGCAUUUUAGUUAAUGUGAAUCUUAAUGAUUUUGUAAUUUUUUCUUUCAAAAUGAUAUUAUUCAGUAGUUGUACAAAGACAAUUUAAGUUCAAUAAUACAAAAAUUAAAAAUGCAGAAAUUAAAAAUUAACUUAUUAAGAAAAAAUAGUGUGUAAAUGCAUUAAUUAUUAAAUGAUUGUGAAACCGACACGUCAGAAUAUAUUCAAAUUGAAAUCGAUGUAGGAUGCCACGUGGCUAGUGUAGUGUGAAAACAUUAAAUGACAAUGAUUUUUUUUUAAUGUAAACGAGAUCUAUAAGUUUUAAUUAAUUUCAAAAUAUUUUUCCUAUUUGUUUUCCAUAAUUUGUUUGCAUGAGUCAUCUUAUUUAUUAUAAGUUGACUCUCAAUUUCUUUCUAUUUUUUCAAUUUGUGGUACUUUUGAAAUAUAUCUACACAUCUAAUUUGUUAUAUAUAAGAUAUUCACGGAUGCAAUACAACCUCAUCACUGUUCUUUAUUUUAAAGUUUUCACUUUUUGUUGCAUCAUCAAAAAUGGUUAAAACCACAAUUUUUGCUAUUUUCAUGGUUGUUCUUGUUUUAGGGAUGGUGAUGGAGUCGCAAGGACAAGAAUCUUGUCGUGAAUAUAUUAGUGGAACAGAAAUUUGCCAAGCUAAACAAUGUGAUGAUCAGUGUACAGUCGAGUAUAAUGGAUAUGGCAAGUGCUUAGCAGGCACAGUGUGCCUCUGCACUUUUAUUUGUAAAACUUAAUUUUCAUUUGUUAUUAAUAAACUAUUAUCAAAUAAAUUAAAUUAAAAAA